This 73-nucleotide transfer RNA is filed under the name Bos taurus (domestic cattle). It matches the Rfam family "tRNA". Rfam says of the family: Transfer RNA (tRNA) molecules are approximately 80 nucleotides in length. Their secondary structure includes four short double-helical elements and three loops (D, anti-codon, and T loops). Lineage: Eukaryota; Metazoa; Chordata; Mammalia; Artiodactyla; Bovidae. The record is from Rfam by way of RNAcentral. RNAcentral also lists the same sequence under 1 other name.
UCCCUGGUUGUCCAGUGGUUAGGACUCAGUACUUUCACCACCAGGGGUCCAGGUUCAAUUCCUGGUUGGGAAA